UGGGGAAUUUUGGACAAUGGGCGAAAGCCUGAUCCAGCAAUGCCGCGUGUGUGAAGAAGGCCUUCGGGUUGUAAAGCACUUUUGUCCGGAAAGAAAUCCUUGGCUCUAAUACAGUCGGGGGAUGACGGUACCGGAAGAAUAAGCACCGGCUAACUACGUGCCAGCAGCCGCGGUAAUACGUAGGGUGCAAGCGUUAAUCGGAAUUACUGGGCGUAAAGCGUGCGCAGGCGGUUUGCUAAGACCGAUGUGAAAUCCCCGGGCUCAACCUGGGAACUGCAUUGGUGACUGGCAGGCUAGAGUAUGGCAGAGGGGGGUAGAAUUCCACGUGUAGCAGUGAAAUGCGUAGAGAUGUGGAGGAAUACCGAUGGCGAAGGCAGCCCCCUGGGCCAAUACUGACGCUCAUGCACGAAAGCGUGGGGAGCAAAACAGGAUUAGAUACCCUGGUAGUCCACGCCCUAAAACGAUGUCAACUAGUUGUUGGGGAUUCAUUUCCUUAGUAACGUAGCUAACGCGUGAAGUUGACCGCCUGGGGAGUACGAUCGCAAGAUUAAAACUCAAAUGAAUUGACGGGGUCAUAGCUG
Molecule: ribosomal RNA, 581 nt
Filed under: uncultured bacterium
Lineage: Bacteria
Description: partial 16S ribosomal RNA
Rfam family: Bacterial small subunit ribosomal RNA
Source: RNAcentral